GGAUUUCCCCCAUUUCCUGUUCCCCUUUCCCCCAUUUCCUGUUCCCCAUUUCCCUCAUUUCCCAUUUCCUGUUCCCGUUUCCUGUUUCCAUUUCCUGUUCCCCUUUCCCCCAUUUCCCAUUCCCUGUUCCCAUUCCCUGUUCCCAUUUCCUGUUCCCCUUUCCCCCAUUUCCUGUUCCCCAUUUCCCUCAUUUCCCGUUUCCUGUUCCCAUUCCCUGUUCCCAUUCCCUGUUCCCAUUCCCUGUUCCCAUUCCCUGUUCCCAUUUCCCGUUUCCUGUUCCCAUUUCCCAUUUCCUGUUCCCGUUUCCCAUUUCCUGUUCCCGUUUCCUGUUCCCAUUCCCUGUUCCCAUUUCCCAUUCCCUGUUCCCAUUCCCUGUUCCCAUUCCCUGUUCCCAUUCCCUGUUCCCAUUUCCCGUUUCCUGUUCCCAUUUCCCAUUUCCUGUUCCCGUUUCCUGUUCCCAUUUCCUGUUCCCCUUUCCCCCAUUUCCCAUUCCCUGUUCCCAUUCCCUGUUCCCAUUUCCUGUUCCCCUUUCCCCCAUUUCCUGUUCCCCAUUUCCCUCAUUUCCUGUUUCCUGUUCCCAUUCCCUGUUCCCAUUUCCUGUUCCCAUUCCCUGUUCCCGUUUCCUGUUUCCUGUUCCCAUUCCCUGUUCCCAUUCCCUGUUCCCAUUCCCCAUUCCCUGUUCCCAUUUCCCAUUCCCUGUUCCCAUUUCCUGUUCCCGUUUCCUGUUCCCUUUCCCCAGGACCACGGCGGUGCCCUGGGCCCGGAGGAGUUCAAGGCCUGUUUGAUCAGCCUGGGCUACGACGUCGAGAACGACCGGCAGCCGAAACGCCGCGCGGACUCCAACGACUUGGGCGCUCUGCUGGGCGCCGCGGGAUCCGGCCUGGUAACGAUCCCGUUCCUCUUCCUCUUCCUCUUCCUCUUCCUCUUCCUCACGCCUUUUAUUCCUUUCCGUCUCGUCACUUUAGAUUUCCUUUCAAAUGUUUAUUUCUGUAUGUUUUUUUCCCAAUAGGUUUAGAUUUCUUUCAGUUGUUUUUAUAAUUUUUUC
This 1045-nucleotide long non-coding RNA is filed under the name Cyanistes caeruleus (blue tit). Its description in RNAcentral is "lncRNA (ENSCCEG00000014396.1)". The record is from RNAcentral. Lineage: Eukaryota; Metazoa; Chordata; Aves; Passeriformes; Paridae.